Molecule: ribosomal RNA, 684 nt
Filed under: Brevibacterium ammoniilyticum
Lineage: Bacteria; Bacillati; Actinomycetota; Actinomycetes; Micrococcales; Brevibacteriaceae
Description: bacterial SSU rRNA
Rfam family: Bacterial small subunit ribosomal RNA
Source: RNAcentral
GCAAGUCGAACGCUGAAGCCCCAGCUUGCUGGGGUGGAUGAGUGGCGAACGGGUGAGUAACACGUGAGUAACCUGCCCCUGACUUCGGGAUAAGCCCGGGAAACUGGGUCUAAUACCGGAUACGACUGUCGGACGCAUGUCUGGUGGUGGAAAGUUUUUUCGGUUGGGGAUGGGCUCGCGGCCUAUCAGUUUGUUGGUGAGGUAAUGGCUCACCAAGACGACGACGGGUAGCCGGCCUGAGAGGGCGACCGGCCACACUGGGACUGAGACACGGCCCAGACUCCUACGGGAGGCAGCAGUGGGGAAUAUUGCACAAUGGGGGAAACCCUGAUGCAGCGACGCAGCGUGCGGGAUGACGGCCUUCGGGUUGUAAACCGCUUUCAGCAGGGAAGAAGCCUCACGGUGACGGUACCUGCAGAAGAAGUACCGGCUAACUACGUGCCAGCAGCCGCGGUAAUACGUAGGGUACGAGCGUUGUCCGGAAUUAUUGGGCGUAAAGAGCUCGUAGGUGGUUGGUCACGUCUGCUGUGGAAACGCAACGCUUAACGUUGCGCGUGCAGUGGGUACGGGCUGACUAGAGUGCAGUAGGGGAGUCUGGAAUUCCUGGUGUAGCGGUGAAAUGCGCAGAUAUCAGGAGGAACACCGGUGGCGAAGGCGGGACUCUGGGCUGUAACUGACACUGAG